Acanthaster planci (crown-of-thorns starfish) is the source of this 207-nucleotide long non-coding RNA. Lineage: Eukaryota; Metazoa; Echinodermata; Asteroidea; Valvatida; Acanthasteridae. The record is from RefSeq and is a predicted model, not a curated record.
UCAACACAGUCAUGGGAGCACCAUACAUAUUUGUGAACUAGUGCAUGUGCAUGUGUAGGCCUUUUGUGACAUGGCAAGCUGAGUAGGCCUACAGGCAUGAUACAUACAAAUCAUCUUGGCCACAGAGAUCAAACCACACUGAGAGUUCAAGCGAGCCCUGGCCCAGUCAGUGUAAUUGCAGCAACAAUCCGAACAGCGCUAGCAUGA